CUCCAAAUAGCUCAAAUGGAUAGAGCGGUCGUCUCCUACACGACAGGCUGAAGGUUCGAGUCCUUCUUUGGAGG
Molecule: transfer RNA, 74 nt
Filed under: Caudoviricetes sp.
Lineage: Duplodnaviria; Heunggongvirae; Uroviricota; Caudoviricetes
Description: tRNA-Arg
Rfam family: tRNA
About the family: Transfer RNA (tRNA) molecules are approximately 80 nucleotides in length. Their secondary structure includes four short double-helical elements and three loops (D, anti-codon, and T loops).
Source: RNAcentral